This 465-nucleotide ribosomal RNA is filed under the name Vreelandella stevensii. Its description in RNAcentral is "partial 16S ribosomal RNA". It matches the Rfam family "Bacterial small subunit ribosomal RNA", at positions 338 to 795 of the family's 1533-position model. Lineage: Bacteria; Pseudomonadati; Pseudomonadota; Gammaproteobacteria; Oceanospirillales; Halomonadaceae. The record is from RNAcentral.
CCUACGGGCGGCAGCAGUGGGGAAUAUUGGACAAUGGGGGUAACCCUGAUCCAGCCAUGCCGCGUGUGUGAAGAAGGCCCUCGGGUUGUAAAGCACUUUCAGUGAGGAAGAACGCCUGGUGGUUAAUACCCAUCAGGAAAGACAUCACUCACAGAAGAAGCACCGGCUAACUCCGUGCCAGCAGCCGCGGUAAUACGGAGGGUGCGAGCGUUAAUCGGAAUUACUGGGCGUAAAGCGCGCGUAGGUGGCUUGAUAAGCCGGUUGUGAAAGCCCCGGGCUCAACCUGGGAACGGCAUCCGGAACUGUCAAGCUAGAGUGCAGGAGAGGAAGGUAGAAUUCCCGGUGUAGCAGUGAAAUGCGUAGAGAUCGGGAGGAAUACCAGUGGCGAAGGCGGCCUUCUGGACUGACACUGACACUGAGGUGCGAAAGCGUGGGUAGCAAACAGGAUUAGAUACCCUUGUAGUC